RNAcentral lists this ribosomal RNA (253 nucleotides) under uncultured bacterium. RNAcentral describes it as "partial 16S ribosomal RNA". It matches the Rfam family "Bacterial small subunit ribosomal RNA", at positions 524 to 776 of the family's 1533-position model. The record is from RNAcentral.
GACAGAGGCCUCGAGCGUUAGGCGGAAUCACUGGGCUUAAAGCGUGUGUAGGCGGGCCCGUAAGUGUCUUGUGAAAUCCCACGGCUCAACCGUGGAACUGCUGCGCAUACUGCGGGUCUUGGGCCAACUAGGGGCAGCCGGAACAAGCGGUGGAGCGGUGAAAUGCGUAGAUAUCGCUUGGAACGCCGAAGGUGAAAACAGACUGCUGGGGUUGCGCCGACGCUGAGACACGAAAGCCAGGGGAGCAAACGGG